Molecule: ribosomal RNA, 245 nt
Filed under: uncultured bacterium
Lineage: Bacteria
Description: partial 16S ribosomal RNA
Rfam family: Bacterial small subunit ribosomal RNA
Source: RNAcentral
UACAGAGGUCCCGAGCGUUGUUCGGAUUCAUUGGGCGUAAAGGGCGCGUAGGUGGUCUGGUAAGUCGGAUGUGAAAUCCUAAAGCUUAACUUUGGAACUGCAUCGGAAACUACUAGGCUAGAGUCUAGGAGGGGGGAGUGGAAUUCUUGGUGUAGCAGUGAAAUGCGUAGAUAUCAAGAGGAACACCGGUGGCGAAAGCGACUCCCUGGACUGGUACUGACACUGAGGCGCGAAAGCUAGGGGAG